CUCAGUUCGGAUUGUAGGCUGAAACUCGCCUACAUGAAGCUGGAGUUGCUAGUAAUCGUAGGUCAGCAUACUACGGUGAAUACGUUCCCGGGCCUUGUACACACCGCCCGUCAAACCAUGAGAGUUGGCAACACCCGAAGUCGGUAGUCUAACCGCAAGGAGGACGCCGCCGAAGGUGGGGUUGAUGAUUAGGGUUAAGUCGUAACAAGGUAGC
Molecule: ribosomal RNA, 214 nt
Filed under: uncultured bacterium
Lineage: Bacteria
Description: partial 16S ribosomal RNA
Rfam family: Bacterial small subunit ribosomal RNA
Source: RNAcentral